CCCUUAGAUGUUCUGGGCUGCACACGUGCUACACUGGCAGGUUCAGCGAGCUUCAAGCCCUGAUCUGAAAGGAAUGGGAAAUCUUUUCAAAACCUGCCGUGCUUGGGAUAGAUGUUUGCAAUUAUUCAUCUUCAACGAGGAUUGCCUUGUAAGCGCACGUCAUCAGCGUGCAUUGAAUACGACCCUGUAUUCUGUACACACCGCCCGUCGCUCCUACCGAUUGAAGUUUUCGGUGAGUUGACAGGAGGAUUUUUUUGAAACUGGUUCGCCAGUGGAUUUUAGAUCCAAAUGCCAACGAAUCGAUGGCUUUAGAGGAAGGAGAAGUCGUAACA
This 332-nucleotide ribosomal RNA is filed under the name uncultured eukaryote. RNAcentral's name for it is "partial 18S ribosomal RNA". It matches the Rfam family "Eukaryotic small subunit ribosomal RNA", at positions 1470 to 1796 of the family's 1831-position model. The record is from RNAcentral.